This 810-nucleotide ribosomal RNA is filed under the name Heterosigma akashiwo. RNAcentral describes it as "partial Bacterial large subunit ribosomal RNA". It matches the Rfam family "Bacterial large subunit ribosomal RNA", at positions 2072 to 2893 of the family's 2925-position model. Lineage: Eukaryota; Raphidophyceae; Chattonellales; Chattonellaceae. The record is from RNAcentral.
GCACCUAGACGGAAAGACCCCGUGAACCUUUACUACAGCUUGGCACUGAACAUUGACCCUACAUGUGUAGGAUAGGUGGGAGACUAUGAAACAUUGUCGCUAGAUGAUGUGGAGUCAACCUUGAAAUACCACCCUUGUAUGUUUGAUGUUCUAACAUUGCCCCCUAAUCGGGGGUAUGGACAGUGUCUGGUGGGUAGUUUGACUGGGGCGGUCUCCUCCUAAAGCGUAACGGAGGAGCACGAAGGUUGGCUAAUCAUGGUCGGACAUCAUGAGGUUAGUGCAAUGGCAUAAGCCAGCUUGACUGCGAGACAGACACGUCGAGCAGGUACGAAAGUAGGUCAUAGUGAUCCGGUGGUUCUGAAUGGAAGGGCCAUCGCUCAACGGAUAAAAGGUACUCCGGGGAUAACAGGCUGAUACCGCCCAAGAGUUCAUAUCGACGGCGGUGUUUGGCACCUCGAUGUCGGCUCAUCACAUCCUGGGGCUGAAGCCGGUCCCAAGGGUAUGGCUGUUCGCCAUUUAAAGUGGUACGCGAGCUGGGUUUAGAACGUCGUGAGACAGUUCGGUCCCUAUCUGCCGUGGGUGUAGGAUACUUGAGAGGAGUUGCCCCUAGUACGAGAGGACCGGGGUGGACGUAUCUCUGGUGGACCUGUUGUUGCGCCAGCAGCAUAGCAGGGUAGCUAUAUACGGAAGGGAUAACCGCUGAAUGCAUCUAAGCGGGAAACCCACCUCAAAACCAGGUUUCCCUUGAGAGCCGUUCUAGACUAGGACGUCGAUAGGCCAGGUGUGGAAGCGCUGCGAAGCGUGGAGCUU